CCUACGGGUGGCUGCAGUGAGGAAUAUUGGUCAAUGGGCUAGCGCCUGAACCAGCCAAGUCGCGUGAGGGAAUACUGCCCUAUGGGUUGUAAACCUCUUUUGUCGGGGAGCAAAUGCCGCACGUGUUCGCCUUUGCGAGUACACGUAGAAAAAACAUCGGCUAACACCGUGCCAGCAGCCGCGGUAUUACGGAGGAUGCGAGCGUUAUCCGGAUUUAUAGGGUUUAAAGGGUGCGCAGGCGGAAUUUUAAGUCAGCGGUAAAAUCGCGGGGCUCAACCCCGUCCAGCCGUUGAAACUGGGGAUCUUGAGUGUGCGAGAAGUAUGCGGAAUGCGUGGUGUAGCGGUGAAAUGCAUAGAUAUCACGCAGAACCCCGAUUGCGAAGGCAGCAUACCGGUGCACAACUGACGCUGAGGCACGAAAGCGUGGGUAUCGAACAGGAUUAGAUACCCCUGUAGUC
Molecule: ribosomal RNA, 458 nt
Filed under: uncultured bacterium
Lineage: Bacteria
Description: partial 16S ribosomal RNA
Rfam family: Bacterial small subunit ribosomal RNA
Source: RNAcentral